RNAcentral lists this long non-coding RNA (643 nucleotides) under Physcomitrium patens. Its description in RNAcentral is "long non-coding RNA (PPAT_LNC014788)". Lineage: Eukaryota; Viridiplantae; Streptophyta; Bryopsida; Funariales; Funariaceae. The record is from RNAcentral.
UUCAUUAGUUAUUGAGGUUUAAAUUUGUUAUAGGAAUUACUAGGAUUUGGUUUAGGAUUUAGGAUUUGGAUUAGAGUUUUAUUUAGGAUUUAGGGUUUGGUUUAUGAUUUGGUUGGAGUUUAUUUAGGUUUUAGGAUUUGGUUAGGAUUUGGUUUAGGAUUUAGUUAGAAUUUGAUUUAGGGUCUAGGAUUUGGUUAGGGUUUAGUGUUUGGAUCAGAGAUUGGUUAGGAUUUGAUUUAGGAUUUAUAUUAAGAUUUGAUUAGGGUUUGAUUUAGGAUUUAGGAUUUUAUUAGGAUUUAAGAUUCAAUUAAAUUUGGCUUAAAGUUUGAAUGAAGUUCAAUAGGAUUUUAACUAGAAUUAAAUUAAGAUUGAAUUGAGAUGUAUUUGAAUGAUAUUUGUGAUCCUUCUAAUAUUUCUUUAAGAAUUCUUAUUGUUUGUUUGAAAUUUCUUUGAGGUUUUUUUUGAAUUUAAUUAAGCUUGCUUACUAUUAUAGUCUAAUUAGAACAUUGUUAGUAUUCUAUUAGAAUUAUGAUUUUGUUAUUAUAAUUUCCAUUCUUCCUUCCACAACAAGGUGCCCGGAGCAUUCUCAAACAAGACUUCACGUAUUACGACAUAUUUUGUGAACCCGACAUAAAACACUGGA